Small nuclear RNA from Nyctereutes procyonoides (raccoon dog), 106 nucleotides. The record is from RefSeq and is a predicted model, not a curated record. Lineage: Eukaryota; Metazoa; Chordata; Mammalia; Carnivora; Canidae.
GUGCUCACUUCAGCAGCACAUAUAUUAAAAUUGGAGUGAUACACAGAAGAUUAGCAUGGCCCCUGCACAAGGAUAUACACAAAUUCAUGAAGUCUUCCAUUUUUUU